Molecule: ribosomal RNA, 914 nt
Filed under: uncultured bacterium
Lineage: Bacteria
Description: bacterial SSU rRNA
Rfam family: Bacterial small subunit ribosomal RNA
Source: RNAcentral
AGAGUUUGAUCCUGGCUCAGAUUGAACGCUGGCGGCAUGCUUUACACAUGCAAGUCGAACGGCAGCACGGGUGCUUGCACCUGGUGGCGAGUGGCGGACGGGUGAGUAAUGCAUCGGAACGUAUCCUUAAGCGGGGGAUAACGCAUCGAAAGAUGUGCUAAUACCGCAUAAUCUCUGAGGAGAAAAGCAGGGGAUUGUAAGACCUUGCGCUUUUGGAGCGGCCGAUGUCUGAUUAGCUAGUUGGUGGGGUAAUGGCCUACCAAAGCUUUGAUCAGUAGCUGGUCUGAGAGGACGGCCAGCCACACUGGGACUGAGAUAUGGCCCAGACUCCUAUGGGAGGCAGCAGUGGGGAAUUUUGGACAAUGGGCGUAAGCCUGAUCCAGCCAUGCCGCGUGAGUGAAGAAGGCCUUUGGGUUGUAAAGCUCUUUCAGCCGGGAAGAAAAGGUUGCGAUUAAUAAUCGCAAUUGAUGAUGGUACCGGAAGAAGAAGCACCGGUUAACUACGUGCCAGUAGUUGUGGUAAUACGUAGGGUGCGAGCGUUAAUCGGAAUUACUGGGCGUAAAGGGUGCGCAGGCGGUUUUGUAAGUCAGAUGUGAAAUCCCCGGGUUUAACCUGGGAACUGCGUUUGAAACUACAAGACUAGAGUGUAGCAGAGGGGGGUGGAAUUCCAUGUGUAGCAGUGAAAUGCGUAGAGAUAUGGAAGAACACCGAUGGCGAAGGUAGCCCCCUGGGUUAACACUGACGCUCAGGCACGAAAGCGUGGGGAGUAAACAGGAUUAGAUACCCUGGUAGUCCACGCCCUAAACGAUGUCAACUAGUUGUCGGGUCUUAAUAGACUUGGUAACGUAGCUAAUGCGUGAAGUUGACCGCCUGGGGAGUACGGUCGCAAGAUUAAAACUUAAAGGAAUUGACGG